UACGUAGGGUGCAAGCGUUGUCCGGAAUUAUUGGGCGUAAAGAGCUCGUAGGCGGUCUGUCGCGUCGGCUGUGAAAUCCCGAGGCUCAACCUCGGGUCUGCAGUCGAUACGGGCAAACUAGAGUAUUGCAGGGGAGACUGGAAUUCCUGGUGUAGCGGUGAAAUGCGCAGAUAUCAGGAGGAACACCGAUGGCGAAGGCAGUUCUCUGGGCCGUAACUGACGCUGAGGAGCGAAAGCGUGGGGAGCGAACGGG
RNAcentral lists this ribosomal RNA (253 nucleotides) under uncultured bacterium. RNAcentral describes it as "partial 16S ribosomal RNA". It matches the Rfam family "Bacterial small subunit ribosomal RNA", at positions 524 to 776 of the family's 1533-position model. The record is from RNAcentral.